This 745-nucleotide long non-coding RNA is filed under the name Salvia miltiorrhiza (redroot sage). RNAcentral describes it as "long non-coding RNA (SMIL_LNC009485)". The record is from RNAcentral. Lineage: Eukaryota; Viridiplantae; Streptophyta; Magnoliopsida; Lamiales; Lamiaceae.
GCCGUUGAUUCUUGGUCGAUCAUUCUUAGCUACGGGAAGAGCUAUGAUAGAUGUGCCGAAUGGAAGCGUCGUUUUUCACGCAGCUGAUGCGCAUGAGUCCUCUGUCUCUGUUCGUGUUAGGCGGUCUGUCACGCCUGCUGCGUUUGAUGUUCAUUGAGACCAUGAGGUACCGUCGAGCUCUAGACGUUAAAUUAAGCACUUGUUGGGAGGUAACCCAACUGUUUUUCUUUGUUUUGUUUUCCUUUCUUUUAGUUUCUUUUUUUGUUUCUUUUUGUUUCGUUUUGUUUCUUUGUUUUGUUUGGGUUUUUAGUGCAGUUGAGCUUGGAAGAUGCGGAAACUCGCGCUUUGUUCAUACCACCACCAUGGAGCAUAUUUUUCUGUGAGUAGUGACACACAUAUCAUCAUCCCUCCAAACUUAUUUUCGAACUUAUGUUCUGUAAUAAGUUUGGGGGAGGGGGGUGAGAGUAGAUAUGUGUAUCACUUUUAUUAUUUUUGUUGGCUUUAUUGUUUUAUCUUGCUUGGUUGGUGGUGUGUGUUUGAUUGUUGUUGAGAUGAUUAUUGCUCCAUUAGAUUUCUGGUGAGAUGCCAAUGAUGAUUUCUGUGAAAAAAAAUUGGAGUUUGAUUUUUCUUUGAUGAUUUAAGCAUAAUUGGAACUAAUUUGCAUAAUUCUAGAGUGAUUUUGACCUUGACUUUUGGACGUUGAAUAAACCUGUGAGUAUUUGAGCCAUAACUGUUUAUCAUACAC